RNAcentral lists this transfer RNA (77 nucleotides) under Gammaproteobacteria bacterium TMED78. Its description in RNAcentral is "tRNA-Arg". It matches the Rfam family "tRNA". From Rfam's summary of the family: Transfer RNA (tRNA) molecules are approximately 80 nucleotides in length. Their secondary structure includes four short double-helical elements and three loops (D, anti-codon, and T loops). Further hydrogen bonds mediate the characteristic L-shaped molecular structure. tRNAs have two regions of fundamental functional importance: the anti-codon, which is responsible for specific mRNA codon recognition, and the 3' end, to which the tRNAs corresponding amino acid is attached (by aminoacyl-tRNA synthetases). tRNAs cope with the degeneracy of the genetic code in two manners: having more than one tRNA (with a specific anti-codon) for a particular amino acid; and 'wobble' base-pairing, i.e. permitting non-standard base-pairing at the 3rd anti-codon position. Lineage: Bacteria; Pseudomonadati; Pseudomonadota; Gammaproteobacteria. The record is from RNAcentral.
GCCCUUGUAGCUCAGCUGGAUAGAGCAAGCGGUUCCUAACUGCUAGGUCGGGAGUUCGAAUCUCUUCAAGGGCGCCA